RNAcentral lists this ribosomal RNA (2063 nucleotides) under activated sludge metagenome. Its description in RNAcentral is "bacterial LSU rRNA". It matches the Rfam family "Bacterial large subunit ribosomal RNA", at positions 3 to 1987 of the family's 2925-position model. The record is from RNAcentral.
UCAAGCGAGGAAGGGUCUACGGGGGAUGCCUGUAGGAGCUACGAGACGAGGAAGGCCGUGGUAAGCUGCGAAAAGCCUGGGGGAGGAGCACACAUCCAGAGAUCCCGGGGUAGCCGAAUGGGGUAACCUGCUUCAGUGAAGCUGAAGCGUCGUCAUGUGAAACGAUAGGAUGACGAGGGAAGACUCAGGGAACUGAACCAUCUCAGUACCUGAAGGAGAAGAAAUCAAACGAGAUUCCUUAAGUAGCGGCGAGCGAACGAGGAGGAGCCCAAACCGUAAGCGUGUCAAGUCUUACAGCGUUGCGCGUACGGGGUUGAAAGUGUAUCUGGUGGGGUCAUGUAAGGGGCUCUGCUUACUGUACGGUUUAUAGGGGAACGGUUCUGGGAAGGCCGACCGGAGGGGGUGAAAGUCCCGUACCUGAAAUAGAGUGUGCAGUGAGUACAGAUAGACUUGAGUACAGCGGGGCACGAGAAACCCUGCUGGAAGCUGGGUCGACCACGAUCCAAGGCUAAAUAUGAGGUAGCUACCGAUAGAGCAAGAGUACCGUGAGGGAAAGGUGAAAAGGACCCCGGGAGGGGAGUGAAAGAGAACCUGAAACCGUAGACCUACAAGCAGUCAGAGCCUCAUGCGAAUGGGGUGAUGGCGUGCCUUUUGUAGAAUGAGCCUGCGAGUUACGAUGUAUAGCGAGGUUAAGGCAUAGGAGUGCCGGAGCCGGGAGGGAAACCGAGUCUGAAUAGGGCGAGUAGUUAUAUGUCGUAGACCCGAAGCCGAGUGAUCUAUCCAUGGCCAGGCUGAAGCUUGAGUAAAAUCAAGUGGAGGGCCGAACUCUAGUCUGUUUAAAAAGGCAGGGAUGAGCUGUGGAUGGGGGUGAAAGGCCAAUCAAACUCGGAGAUAGCUGGCACUCCUCGAAAUAGCUUUAGGGCUAGCCUCAUAUGGACUGUUACGGAGGUAGAGCACUGGAUGGGCUAGGGCCCUUCACCGGGUACCAAACUCAACCAAACUCCGAAUGCCGUAAGAGAAUGUAUGGGAGUCAGACUACGGGCGAUAAGGUUCGUGGUCAAAAGGGGAACAGCCCAGACCGUUAGCUAAGGUCUCGAAACUAUGCUGAGUGGAAAAGGAAGUGUAAUUACACAGACAGCCAGGAGGUUGGCUUAGAAGCAGCCAUACCUUUAAAGAGUGCGUAACAGCUCACUGGUCGAGUAGUUAUGCGCUGAUAAUGUAACGGGGCUUAGAAGCAUAGUACCGAAGCUGCGGAUCAGGAGAGAUUCUGGUGGUAGAGGAGCAUUCCAUGGACCGAAGAAGGUGAGCCGGGAGGCGAGCUGGAGGGGAUGGAAGAGAGGAUGCAGGCAUGAGUAACGAAAAGAGGGGUGAGAUUCCCCUCCGCCGAAAGCCUAAGGAUUCCAGGGUUAAGGUAAUCUGCCCAAGGGUUAGUCGGUCCCUAAGGCGAGGACGAAAGUCGUAGUCGAUGGGAAACGGGUGAAUAAUCCCGUACCUCUUACCAACUGCGAAGGAACGACGCAUGAGGUCGUACCCUUACCGGGUGACGGAAGUCCCGGUUCAAAGGAUGCGAGUCCGUUUGGAGCCUGUCAGGGAAAUCCGGCAGGUGAGGAUGAGCACUGAAAGGGAGCCGAUAGCUACGCGCGAGGGCGAAGAAGGGGAGAUCAAGGUGCCAAGAAAUAGUUUCUAAGCGAUAGGGGGUAGGAGACCGUACCGCAAACCGACACAGGUAGGCGGGAAGAGGAUUCUAAGGCGCGCGGGAGAAUUCGCGUUAAGGAACUCGGCAACAUACACACGUAACUUCGGAAGAAGUGUGGCCUUUUGUGCCUGUAACAGGGUAUGGGAGGUUGCAGAGAAAUGGCCCAAGCGACUGUUUACCAAAAACACAAGUCUCUGCGAAUCAGCAAUGAGACGUAUAGGGACUGACACCUGCCCGGUGCCGGAAGGUUAAGGGGAGUGGUUAACAUUCGAAAGGAUGUGAAGCUACGAACUGAAGCCCCGGUAAACGGCGGCCGUAACUAUAACGGUCCUAAGGUAGCGAAAUUCCUUGUCGGGUAAGUUCCGAC